RNAcentral lists this ribosomal RNA (439 nucleotides) under uncultured bacterium. Its description in RNAcentral is "bacterial SSU rRNA". It matches the Rfam family "Bacterial small subunit ribosomal RNA", at positions 959 to 1397 of the family's 1533-position model. The record is from RNAcentral.
ACGCGAGGAACCUUACCAGGUCUUGACAUCCCAUUGACCGCUAUGGAGACAUAGCUUUCCCUUCGGGGACAGCGGUGACAGGUGGUGCAUGGUUGUCGUCAGCUCGUGUCGUGAGAUGUUGGGUUAAGUCCCGCAACGAGCGCAACCCUUGAUCUUAGUUGCCAGCAUUCAGUUGGGCACUCUAAGGUGACUGCCGGUGACAAACCGGAGGAAGGUGGGGAUGACGUCAAAUCAUCAUGCCCCUUAUGACCUGGGCUACACACGUGCUACAAUGGAUGGUACAAAGGGCAGCAAAGCGGUGACGCCUAGCAAAUCCCAUAAAACCGUUCUCAGUUCGGAUUGUAGGCUGCAACUCGCCUACAUGAAGCCGGAAUCGCUAGUAAUCGCGGAUCAGCAUGCCGCGGUGAAUACGUUCCCGGGCCUUGCACACACCGCCCGU